UUGGGGGUGAAAUCCCAGGGCUCAACCCUGGAACUGCCUCCAAAACUCCUGGUCUUGAGUUCGAGAGAGGUGAGUGGAAUUCCGAGUGUAGAGGUGAAAUUCGUAGAUAUUCGGAGGAACACCAGUGGCGAAGGCGGCUCACUGGCUCGAUACUGACGCUGAGGUGCGAAAGUGUGGGGAGCAAACAGGAUUAGAUACCCUGGUAGUCCACACCGUAAACGAUGAGAGCUAGUUGUC
This 237-nucleotide ribosomal RNA is filed under the name Thalassionema nitzschioides. Its description in RNAcentral is "partial Bacterial small subunit ribosomal RNA". It matches the Rfam family "Bacterial small subunit ribosomal RNA", at positions 588 to 824 of the family's 1533-position model. Lineage: Eukaryota; Bacillariophyta; Fragilariophyceae; Thalassionematales; Thalassionemataceae. The record is from RNAcentral.